AACGCUAGCUACAGGCUUAACACAUGCAAGUCGAGGGGCAUCAUGAGCUUAGCUUGCUAAGUUUGAUGGCGACCGGCGCACGGGUGAGUAACGCGUAUCCAACCUUCCGUUUACUCGGGUAUAGCCUUUCGAAAGAAAGAUUAAUCCCCGAUGGUAUGGUAAGAUUGCAUGAAAUUACCAUUAAAGAUUCAUCGGUAAACGAUGGGGAUGCGUUCCAUUAGGUAGUAGGCGGGGUAACGGCCCACCUAGCCGACGAUGGAUAGGGGUUCUGAGAGGAAGGUCCCCCACAUUGGAACUGAGACACGGUCCAAACUCCUACGGGAGGCAGCAGUGAGGAAUAUUGGUCAAUGGGCGGAAGCCUGAACCAGCCAAGUAGCGUGAGGGACGACGGCCCUACGGGUUGUAAACCUCUUUUGCGCGGGGACAAAGUUCGCCAUGCGUGGCGUUUUGCGGGUACCGCGCGAAUAAGGACCGGCUAAUUCCGUGCCAGCAGCCGCGGUAAUACGGAAGGUCCUGGCGUUAUCCGGAUUCAUUGGGUUUAAAGGGAGCGCAGACGGCAUGUCAAGUCAGCUGUGAAAGUUCGCGGCUCAACCUUGGAAUUGCAGUUGAAACUGGCGUGCUUGAGUUCGGUCGAGGCAGGCGGAAUUCGUGGUGUAGCGGUGAAAUGCUUAGAUAUCACGAAGAACUCCGAUUG
RNAcentral lists this ribosomal RNA (694 nucleotides) under uncultured bacterium. RNAcentral's name for it is "bacterial SSU rRNA". It matches the Rfam family "Bacterial small subunit ribosomal RNA", at positions 32 to 715 of the family's 1533-position model. The record is from RNAcentral.